Molecule: long non-coding RNA, 515 nt
Organism: Dromiciops gliroides (monito del monte)
Lineage: Eukaryota; Metazoa; Chordata; Mammalia; Microbiotheria; Microbiotheriidae
Exons: 3
Source: RefSeq, a predicted model, not a curated record
AGGUGGAGGAGCAUUUCUGGAUGAUGUUUUCAAUCUCGUGUGUAUCUAGAAAAAGAGAGGAAAACCCAAGAAACAUUUCAGAAAACCUUUGCCAUUAAUGCUCAGUUCCAGCUCCUUCAAAGUUCAGAUAAGCCAUAGUCCCCAGUCCCAUAAAGUUUCCAAAUCCAAGAAAGAAAAAUGACUUGCAUGCAGAUGACUAUAAAACACACAAAAAACAACUGAGGGAAACCAGAGAAGGCUUCCUGGAGGAGGUGAUGUUUCCACUGAAAUUUUUAAAAUUAAAUUUUCAAGGAUUAGUGAAAAUUCAACAAGUGAAGAGGAAAAGCAGGAAACAUUCUACAUAUAGGGAAGUGAGUGAACCUAACCAUCAAGCUGGAGAUCCUUGGUCUCUGGCUGCCUGGAUAUAUAAGAGGGCUGCUGGCUUUGAAAACAACUCUGCUUUCUACCCUACCAGAUGCUUCUUUACAGAUGGAAGAAAAGUGCCCCUGAGAUCUUAAAGACUAUGCCAACAGAAC